This 1527-nucleotide ribosomal RNA is filed under the name uncultured bacterium. RNAcentral's name for it is "bacterial SSU rRNA". It matches the Rfam family "Bacterial small subunit ribosomal RNA". The record is from RNAcentral.
AACGAACGCUAGCGGCGUGCCUAACACAUGCAAGUCGAACGGUCCAGCAUUUUCAAUUAGUUGAGAGGGUAGUAAUACCCAUGAUUCUAUGAGAAAGGGUUGGACGGUGGCGGAUGGGUGAGUAAUACGUGGGUAAUUUACCUUUAAAUUUAGGAUAACAUUGGGAAACUGGUGCUAAUACUAAAUGUGAUUACAAAAACGCAUGUUUUUGUAAUUAAAGGUGGCUUAGUUGUUUUCAACGCUACCGUUUAAAGAUAAGCCCACGGUCUAUUAGUUAGUUGGUAGGGUAAUGGCCUACCAAGACGAUGAUGGAUAGCCGAUCUGAGAGGAUGAACGGCCACACUGGGAUUGAGAUACGGCCCAGACUCCUACGGGAGGCAGCAGUGAGGAAUCUUGCGCAAUGGGGGAAACCCUGACGCAGCGACGCCGCGUGGGCGAUGAAGGUCUUCGGAUUGUAAAGCCCUGUCAAGCAGGACGAAAUUUAACCAAACGAACAAUUUGGUUAAUUGACUGUACUGCUAAAGGAAGUCUCGGCCAAUUACGUGCCAGCAGCCGCGGUAAUACGUAUGAGACAAGCGUUGUUCGGAAUUACUGGGCGUAAAGAGCGUGUAGGUGGUUAGGUAAGUCGAAUGUGAAACUUUUUGGCUCAACCAAAAAAUGCCAUUUGAAACUGCCUAACUUGAGUACAGAGUGGGAGAGCGGAACUUUCGGUGUAGCGGUGAAAUGUGUAAAUAUCGGAAGGAACACCAGUGGCGAAGGCGGCUCUCUGGUCUGAAUCUGACACUGGAGCGCGAAAGCUAGGGGAGCAAACAGGAUUAGAUACCCUGGUAGUCCUAGCCGUAAACGAUGAGCACUAGGUGUGGGAGGUAUUAAACCCUUCUGUGCCGUAGCUAACGCAUUAAGUGCCCCGCCUGGGAAGUACAGCCGCAAGGUUGAAACUCAAAGGAGUUGACGGGGGCCCGCACAAGCGGUGGAGCAUGUGGUUCAAUUCGAUGCAACGCGAAAAACCUUACCGGGGUUUGACAUAUAAGUGACCAUAUAGGAAACUAUAUCUUCUAGUUCUGCUAGACACUUAUACAGGUGCUGCAUGGCUGUCGUCAGCUCGUGUCGUGAGAUGUUGGGUUAAGUCCCACAACGAGCGCAACCCCUGCCUUUUGUUGCCAUCAGGUAAAGCUGGGCACUCUAAAGGGACUGCCGGUAAUAAACCGGAGGAAGGUGGGGACGACGUCAAGUCCUCAUGGCCUUUAUACCCCGGGCGACACACGUGCUACAAUGGUCUGCACAAAGGGUUGCGAAAGAGCGAUCUGGAGCUAAUCCCAAAAAACAGGUCUCAGUUCGGAUUGAAGGCUGCAAUUCGCCUUCAUGAAGUCGGAAUCGCUAGUAACCGUGGAUCAGCAUGCCACGGUGAAUACGUUCCCGGGCCUUGUACACACCGCCCGUCACACCACCCGAGUUGGAUGCACCCGAAGCCACUAUCCUAACCAGUAUUGGAGGGAGGUGUUUAAGGUGUGUCUGGUAAGGGGGGUG